AGAUUCAUCAUUUUUAUGUUGAAAGCUGGAGCAUUUUGCUUUUUGAUUAAUUGUAAUGAUAUUUGAGUGCCAACAAGCAGUGAUGUGAACUGCCUUCUAAUUUGCUCUCUGAUUGUAGUAAACUAAGAAAGGUAAAUAUGAGAAAACUAGCAAGAUGCCUGUGCUCUCUGAUUCAUCUAGUAAACUAAGAUCACCAAUUUCUUCAUA
This 207-nucleotide unclassified non-coding RNA is filed under the name Hevea brasiliensis (rubber tree). Lineage: Eukaryota; Viridiplantae; Streptophyta; Magnoliopsida; Malpighiales; Euphorbiaceae. The record is from RNAcentral.